GGAUUAUCUACCUAUGGGUCUGGAAUAACAGUUGGAAACGACUGAUAAUACUGGAUAAUAUGGCAACGUUAAAGGUGGCCUCUGCUUGCAUGCUACUGCCCAUAGAUGAGUCCGCGUCUCAUUAGCUAGACGGUAGGGUAACGGCCUACCGUGGCAACGAUGAGUAGCAGGCCUGAGAGGGUGGCCUGCCACACUGGGACUGGAACACGGCCCAGACUCCUACGGGAGGCAGCAGUGGGGAAUAUUGCGCAAUGGGGGAAACCCUGACGCAGCGACGCCGCGUGGAGGAUGAAGGUUUUCGGAUCGUAAACUCCUGUCAGAAGGGAAGAACCCUGCGAAGAAUAAUACGCUUCGCAGCUGACGGUACCUUCAGAGGAAGCACCGGCUAAUUCCGUGCCAGCAGCCGCGGUAAUACGGAAGGUGCAAGCGUUAAUCGGAAUCACUGGGCGUAAAGCGCUCGUAGGUUGCUUUGUAAGUCAGGUGUGAAAGCCCACGGCUCAACCGUGGAAUUGCACUUGAUACUGCAUUGCUAGAGUUCGGGAGAGGGUAGUGGAAUUCCAGGUGUAGGAGUGAAAUCCGUANAGAUCUGGAGGAACACCAGUGGCGAAGGCGACUACCUGGACCGAUACUGACACUGAGGAGCGAAAGCG
This 650-nucleotide ribosomal RNA is filed under the name Desulfovibrio sp. PR3_G02. RNAcentral's name for it is "bacterial SSU rRNA". It matches the Rfam family "Bacterial small subunit ribosomal RNA", at positions 119 to 761 of the family's 1533-position model. The record is from RNAcentral. Lineage: Bacteria; Pseudomonadati; Thermodesulfobacteriota; Desulfovibrionia; Desulfovibrionales; Desulfovibrionaceae.